AGAGUCAUUCUCUUUAUAUAAACACCGACUCUUCACAUUCACAUUAAUUUCGCAUAAACACAGAAGCUUAACAUUCAUAUUCAAAUACAAACACUCCAAUAGGCUAAAAAGAGUCGUCAUUGUUUUUGCUUCUCCGUAUCUGAAAUGAAUCAGAAAGACUUAAGUGUUCUCAAUUUCUCUUUGCUUUUUUUAAUUAUUUUUCUUGGUUUUUAUGUGUGAUUGCUACUUUCUCUUUCAUUUGCAGUCCUUCCCAAACAAAGACAUGUCGUUGAGGCUUAGCACUCAGACGAAGGUGAGAAAGAAGGGGUACAAGAGUGGCGUCGAUGUGGAGGAGGCACGCCGGCGGAGAGAGGACAAUUUGAUGGAGAUCAGAAAGAAAAUAAGAGAAGAUAAUUUGUUGAAGAAGAGACGUGAAGGUCUCUUGCUUCAGUCUCAACCACUUCUCGAUGCCUCUUAAAACGCCGCCACCGCCAUUGAAAAGAAGAGUUCUUCGAGCAUAUCGGGUUUCAUAGGUGGGCGUGAGGCGAGGCCAAAGAUAUCACACACCUUAAUAAUUCAUUCAAUCGCCCAUGGAUUCCAAUUCACAGCAGCCACCAGGUACUGAAACCUAGGAAGAGGUUAGUGAAGAAGGAUGGAUCAAUUGGGCUGGAGAAACUAUUAGCAACAAGGAUCGUUGCACAAUGUGUAAGGAUGAGAAGGUUGUUCAAGAGAAGAAGGUGUUGGAAUUAGUAGUUGAGAAGGGUAUGCAAAAUGGACAAAAGAUUACAUUCCCAGGAGAAACUGAUGAAGCUGUAAGUGAAUAAUUCAUUUUUAGUUUUAUUAGAUUUUGUUUGAUCUUAGAGAAAAUUGACUACCAAGGAAAGAAAAAUGGAACUUGGAGUUUUAUGUUAUUUUUCAUUCCGUUUUUAAGUAAUGUCGAUACGGCGGUUGAAAGAUAUGCGUUUUUAGUUUUGUGAAAUAUGUUUUUCUUGCAAAGAAAAUUGAGGAAUACAGCUUAGGGAAAAGAUAUGUACUGAAAAUACAUACUUUUUUUUCUCAAGUUUCUUAGCCGCCAAACAGAGUUGAGAAUUAACUUUUUCAGUAAUUAAUUAUUUGAUCCGCAUAAUUGUAAACUAAUUAUUACGUAAUUUGCAAGAAUAUGUAUACAGCAGGCUCUAAUUCAAGUAUACUUUGCAUAUAAGUACUGUUGUAUUUGGUAACAUUUUAAUGAUUUUCUUUAAGUAUUUGUCAAUUUGUGAUCUGGAAUAUCAAGGAUUAGUUUGUAAAUUUUGAUCCAUGGAUACCUUUUAUUUUCCCAAUUAUGGUUGGUACUUCACAUUUGUUCAAGGAUUCGUCUAUAACGUUCUCAUUUAUCUUCAAGGUUUCACCACUAAAUAGAUGGUGAAUCCAUGGAAGACUUGUGUGAAGCUAUCUGCAGUUUUAAUGGGUUCUCAUGGACUUACCAAAGGGUCUUUGACUUUUCUUAACUAUCCAGCACAGCUCAUGUUCAAAUCCACAAAGGUAUAGAGAACUGGGUUUCUCAAAUUUUCACCUUCUGUGGUUUUAAGUUUCAGAAUUAUAUUAAUUUGAGCUAGAAAGGCCUGAUUUUCAGUCCAUAGACUCAUCAAAUUCAAUUCCAAGUCUUGCAAAUUUCACAGUGAAUAGUGGGCUUCUUGAGCUUUUGGCAUUGAACGGAGGUGCGAUUACACAUUUUUCUUGGUCUUUAUACAUAUGGGUUGGCUGUGGCAAUUGCAGAAACAGGUCUUUUAGCGAAACUGACAUUUUUACAAAGCAGGAGAAGUGUAUCUAAAUGGUGUCCAGAAUUCAUGGUUGUUAACAAUUCAAGACUGGGGUUAGCCUUGCUCAAUGGUAUUAUAAUAUUGGUGGUUAUUUGACCCGAGUACCAUGUUCGCCAAACUAAACUCAAGUACUCAAAUUCUGGGGCUUCUCUUCUUGCUGAAAGAAGAGAAAAUGAUAGAUCGAGAUAAUAAGAUUGAAUUGUAGAAGUUAGAUUGAUAUAUACAUGUUUUCUGUGCUAAAGUUGUUCAUUUGUUUUUUUACAGUUAAGUUGAUAGAUAUAUUGCUUAAAAUUUUUGG
Long non-coding RNA from Pistacia vera, 2076 nucleotides. RefSeq lists it as uncharacterized. The record is from RefSeq and is a predicted model, not a curated record. The transcript has 5 exons. Lineage: Eukaryota; Viridiplantae; Streptophyta; Magnoliopsida; Sapindales; Anacardiaceae.